UCCUUUGUAGCUCAGUUGGUAAAGAAUCUGCCUGCAAUGCAGAAGACUUGGGUUCAAUUCCUGGGUCGGGAA
Molecule: non-coding RNA, 72 nt
Organism: Bos taurus (domestic cattle)
Lineage: Eukaryota; Metazoa; Chordata; Mammalia; Artiodactyla; Bovidae
Source: Rfam